RNAcentral lists this ribosomal RNA (497 nucleotides) under uncultured bacterium. RNAcentral's name for it is "partial 16S ribosomal RNA". It matches the Rfam family "Bacterial small subunit ribosomal RNA", at positions 28 to 507 of the family's 1533-position model. The record is from RNAcentral.
GAUGAACGCUGGCGGCGUGCCUAAUACAUGCAAGUCGAGCGAACAGAUGAGGAGCUUGCUCCUCUGACGUUAGCGGCGGACGGGUGAGUAACACGUGGAUAACCUACCUAUAAGACUGGGAUAACUUCGGGAAACCGGAGCUAAUACCGGAUAAUAUAUUGAACCGCAUGGUUCAAUAGUGAAAGACGGUUUUGCUGUCACUUAUAGAUGGAUCCGCGCCGCAUUAGCUAGUUGGUAAGUUAACGGCUUACCAAGGCAACGAUGCGUAGCCGACCUGAGAGGGUGAUCGGCCACACUGGAAGUGAGACACGGUCCAGACUCCUACGGGAGGCAGCAGUAGGGAAUCUUCCGCAAUGGGCGAAAGCCUGACGGAGCAACGCCGCGUGAGUUAUGAAGGUCUUCGGAUCGUAAAACUCUGUUAUUAGGUAAGAACAAAUGUGUAAGGAACUAUGCACGUCUUGACGGUACCUAAUCAGAAAGCCACGGCUAACUACGUG